Molecule: ribosomal RNA, 434 nt
Filed under: uncultured Roseburia sp.
Lineage: Bacteria; Bacillati; Bacillota; Clostridia; Lachnospirales; Lachnospiraceae
Description: partial 16S ribosomal RNA
Rfam family: Bacterial small subunit ribosomal RNA
Source: RNAcentral
ACGGAAGGCAGCAGUGGGGAAUAUUGCACAAUGGGCGAAAGCCUGAUGCAGCGACGCCGCGUGAGCGAAGAAGUAUUUCGGUAUGUAAAGCUCUAUCAGCAGGGAAGAUAAUGACGGUACCUGACUGAGAAGCACCGGCUAAAUACGUGCCAGCAGCCGCGGUAAUACGUAUGGUGCAAGCGUUAUCCGGAUUUACUGGGUGUAAAGGGAGCGCAGGCGGUACGGCAAGUCUGAUGUGAAAGCCCGGGGCUCAACCCCGGUACUGCAUUGGAAACUGUCGAACUAGAGUGUCGGAGGGGUAAGUGGAAUUCCUAGUGUAGCGGUGAAAUGCGUAGAUAUUAGGAGGAACACCAGUGGCGAAGGCGGCUUACUGGACGACAACUGACGCUGAGGCUCGAAAGCGUGGGGAGCAAACAGGAUUAGAUACCCUGGUA